This is a non-coding RNA of Musa acuminata subsp. malaccensis (wild Malaysian banana), 126 nucleotides long. The record is from Rfam. Lineage: Eukaryota; Viridiplantae; Streptophyta; Magnoliopsida; Zingiberales; Musaceae.
CUCUGGACGCAGCGGUUUAUCGAUCUCUUCCUGGCCUUGUCGGUCUCUUUUCGUGGUGGAUUCGAUGGUUUCUUUUCUUGCUGAGGUUACAAAGCCGGAAUCGGUCGAUAAACCUCUGCAUCCGGA